Molecule: ribosomal RNA, 478 nt
Filed under: uncultured bacterium
Lineage: Bacteria
Description: partial 16S ribosomal RNA
Rfam family: Bacterial small subunit ribosomal RNA
Source: RNAcentral
GACGAACGCUGGCGGCGUGCUUAACACAUGCAAGUCGAACGGUAAGGCCCUUCGGGGUACACGAGUGGCGAACGGGUGAGUAACACGUGGGUGAUUUGCCCUGCACUUCGGGAUAAGCCUGGGAAACCGGGUCUAAUACCGGAUAGGACCACUGCCUGCAUGGGUGGUGGUGGAAAGCUUUUGCGGCGUGGGAUGGGCCCGCGGCCUAUCAGCUUGUUGGUGGGGUGAUGGCCUACCAAGGCGACGACGGGUAGCCGGCCUGAGAGGGUGACCGGCCACACUGGGACUGAGAUACUGCCCAGACUCCUACGGGAGGCAGCAGUGGGGAAUAUUGCACAAUGGGCGCAAGCCUGAUGCAGCGACGCCGCGUGAGGGAUGACGGCCUUCGAGUUGUAAACCUCUUUCAGCACCGACGAAGCGCAAGUGACGGUAGGUGCAGAAGAAGGACCGGCCAACUACGUGCCAGCCGCCGCCGUAA